This is a non-coding RNA of Acanthosepion pharaonis, 113 nucleotides long. NCBI's taxonomy places the organism in Eukaryota, Metazoa, Mollusca, Cephalopoda, Sepiida, Sepiidae. The record is from the annotation of a GenBank genome assembly.
CUACGGCUAUAUUACACUGAAAGACCGGCUCCCGUACGAUCACUAGAGUUAGGAAACAUCGAGCCUGGUCAGUACAUAGAUGGGUGACCAUUUGGGAAUACCAGAUGAUGUAA